CACGCCGUAAACGAUGGAUACUAGCUGUUCGGAGCAAUCUGAGUGGCUAAGCGAAAGUGAUAAGUAUCCCACCUGGGGAGUACGAACGCAAGUUUGAAACUCAAAGGAAUUGACGGGGGCCCGCACAAGCGGUGGAGCAUGUGGUUUAAUUCGAUGAUACGCGAGGAACCUUACCAAGGCUUAAAUGUAGAUUGACCGGUUUGGAAACAGACUUUUCGCAAGACAAUUUACAAGGUGC
This 238-nucleotide ribosomal RNA is filed under the name uncultured bacterium. RNAcentral describes it as "partial 16S ribosomal RNA". It matches the Rfam family "Bacterial small subunit ribosomal RNA", at positions 796 to 1041 of the family's 1533-position model. The record is from RNAcentral. RNAcentral also lists the same sequence under 1 other name.